RNAcentral lists this ribosomal RNA (2900 nucleotides) under Escherichia coli. RNAcentral's name for it is "23S ribosomal RNA". It matches the Rfam family "Bacterial large subunit ribosomal RNA". Lineage: Bacteria; Pseudomonadati; Pseudomonadota; Gammaproteobacteria; Enterobacterales; Enterobacteriaceae. The record is from RNAcentral.
GGUUAAGCGACUAAGCGUACACGGUGGAUGCCCUGGCAGUCAGAGGCGAUGAAGGACGUGCUAAUCUGCGAUAAGCGUCGGUAAGGUGAUAUGAACCGUUAUAACCGGCGAUUUCCGAAUGGGGAAACCCAGUGUGAUUCGUCACACUAUCAUUAACUGAAUCCAUAGGUUAAUGAGGCGAACCGGGGAACUGAAACAUCUAAGUACCCCGAGGAAAAGAAAUCAACCGAGAUUCCCCCAGUAGCGGCGAGCGAACGGGGAGCAGCCCAGAGCCUGAAUCAGUGUGUGUGUUAGUGGAAGCGUCUGGAAAGGCGCGCGAUACAGGGUGACAGCCCCGUACACAAAAAUGCACAUACUGUGAGCUCGAUGAGUAGGGCGGGACACGUGGUAUCCUGUCUGAAUAUGGGGGACCAUCCUCCAAGGCUAAAUACUCCUGACUGACCGAUAGUGAACCAGUACCGUGAGGGAAAGGCGAAAAGAACCCCGGCGAGGGGAGUGAAAAAGAACCUGAAACCGUGUACGUACAAGCAGUGGGAGCACAGAGCAAUCUGUGUGACUGCGUACCUUUUGUAUAAUGGGUCAGCGACUUAUAUUCUGUAGCAAGGUUAACCGAAUAGGGGAGCCGAAGGGAAACCGAGUCUUAACUGGGCGUUAAGUUGCAGGGUAUAGACCCGAAACCCGGUGAUCUAGCCAUGGGCAGGUUGAAGGUUGGGUAACACUAACUGGAGGACCGAACCGACUAAUGUUGAAAAAUUAGCGGAUGACUUGUGGCUGGGGGUGAAAGGCCAAUCAAACCGGGAGAUAGCUGGUUCUCCCCGAAAGCUAUUUAGGUAGCGCCUCGUGAAUUCAUCUCCGGGGGUAGAGCACUGUUUCGGCAAGGGGUCAUCCCGACUUACCAACCCGAUGCAAACUGCGAAUACCGGAGAAUGUUAUCACGGGAGACACACGGCGGGUGCUAACGUCCGUCGUGAAGAGGGAAACAACCCAGACCGCCAGCUAAGGUCCCAAAGUCAUGGUUAAGUGGGAAACGAUGUGGGAAGGCCCAGACAGCCAGGAUGUUGGCUUAGAAGCAGCCAUCAUUUAAAGAAAGCGUAAUAGCUCACUGGUCGAGUCGGCCUGCGCGGAAGAUGUAACGGGGCUAAACCAUGCACCGAAGCUGCGGCAGCGACACUGUGUGUUGUUGGGUAGGGGAGCGUUCUGUAAGCCUGUGAAGGUGUACUGUGAGGUAUGCUGGAGGUAUCAGAAGUGCGAAUGCUGACAUAAGUAACGAUAAAGCGGGUGAAAAGCCCGCUCGCCGGAAGACCAAGGGUUCCUGUCCAACGUUAAUCGGGGCAGGGUGAGUCGACCCCUAAGGCGAGGCCGAAAGGCGUAGUCGAUGGGAAACAGGUUAAUAUUCCUGUACUUGGUGUUACUGCGAAGGGGGACGGAGAAGGCUAUGUUGGCCGGGCGACGGUUGUCCCGGUUUAAGCGUGUAGGCUGGUUUUCCAGGCAAAUCCGGAAAAUCAAGGCUGAGGCGUGAUGACGAGGCACUACGGUGCUGAAGCAACAAAUGCCCUGCUUCCAGGAAAAGCCUCUAAGCAUCAGGUAACAUCAAAUCGUACCCCAAACCGACACAGGUGGUCAGGUAGAGAAUACCAAGGCGCUUGAGAGAACUCGGGUGAAGGAACUAGGCAAAAUGGUGCCGUAACUUCGGGAGAAGGCACGCUGAUAUGUAGGUGAAGCGACUUGCUCGUGGAGCUGAAAUCAGUCGAAGAUACCAGCUGGCUGCAACUGUUUAUUAAAAACACAGCACUGUGCAAACACGAAAGUGGACGUAUACGGUGUGACGCCUGCCCGGUGCCGGAAGGUUAAUUGAUGGGGUUAGCGCAAGCGAAGCUCUUGAUCGAAGCCCCGGUAAACGGCGGCCGUAACUAUAACGGUCCUAAGGUAGCGAAAUUCCUUGUCGGGUAAGUUCCGACCUGCACGAAUGGCGUAAUGAUGGCCAGGCUGUCUCCACCCGAGACUCAGUGAAAUUGAACUCGCUGUGAAGAUGCAGUGUACCCGCGGCAAGACGGAAAGACCCCGUGAACCUUUACUAUAGCUUGACACUGAACAUUGAGCCUUGAUGUGUAGGAUAGGUGGGAGGCUUUGAAGUGUGGACGCCAGUCUGCAUGGAGCCGACCUUGAAAUACCACCCUUUAAUGUUUGAUGUUCUAACGUGGACCCGUGAUCCGGGUUGCGGACAGUGUCUGGUGGGUAGUUUGACUGGGGCGGUCUCCUCCUAAAGAGUAACGGAGGAGCACGAAGGUUGGCUAAUCCUGGUCGGACAUCAGGAGGUUAGUGCAAUGGCAUAAGCCAGCUUGACUGCGAGCGUGACGGCGCGAGCAGGUGCGAAAGCAGGUCAUAGUGAUCCGGUGGUUCUGAAUGGAAGGGCCAUCGCUCAACGGAUAAAAGGUACUCCGGGGAUAACAGGCUGAUACCGCCCAAGAGUUCAUAUCGACGGCGGUGUUUGGCACCUCGAUGUCGGCUCAUCACAUCCUGGGGCUGAAGUAGGUCCCAAGGGUAUGGCUGUUCGCCAUUUAAAGUGGUACGCGAGCUGGGUUUAGAACGUCGUGAGACAGUUCGGUCCCUAUCUGCCGUGGGCGCUGGAGAAUUGAGGGGGCUGCUCCUAGUACGAGAGGACCGGAGUGGACGCAUCACUGGUGUUCGGGUUGUCAUGCCAAUGGCACUGCCCGGUAGCUAAAUGCGGAAGAGAUAAGUGCUGAAAGCAUCUAAGCACGAAACUUGCCCCGAGAUGAGUUCUCCCUGACCCUUUAAGGGUCCUGAAGGAACGUUGAAGACGACGACGUUGAUAGGCCGGGUGUGUAAGCGCAGCGAUGCGUUGAGCUAACCGGUACUAAUGAACCGUGAGGCUUAACCUU